Molecule: RNA transcript, 2956 nt
Organism: Nicotiana attenuata
Lineage: Eukaryota; Viridiplantae; Streptophyta; Magnoliopsida; Solanales; Solanaceae
Gene name: patellin-4-like
Exons: 4
Source: RefSeq, a predicted model, not a curated record
CAGAAGUUGUCUAGUCCUUUUUUUUUCUCUUCAAUUUUAUGGUUUCGAGUUUUCUAGGUGACAGUUUUUCUGCUAUUUGUUGUUGAAUUUGCUGAUUUUGUUAAACGAAUAUGUUUACAUAAGGGAGUUAUGGCGGAGCCAGAGACCAAGUUACGGGUUCGGCCCAAACCUAAUAACUCUGGUCCAAACUUUGUUUAUUUCUUAAAAAAUUCAUUUAAUAGGUAUAAAUUAUUAGUUUAGAACCCAGUACAUAAACUUCAAAUUAUGGCUUCGCCUAACUAGGAAAUUGUGACAUUUUUCAAGUUUCAAUUUUCUACUUCUAAUAGGGAGCUGCUUCUUUGGUUUUUAGAACAAUUUUUUAGGGGUUUCAAUUCCAUCUUGUUAGAGAUUCAUAUGCUAGUAUGAGACGGGCGGAUUUUGGGGGGCGGAAGGGGGUUCACUCGAACUCCCGUCGUCGAAAAAUUACACUGUAUAUAUAAGGCACAAUCUGUUUUUUACCUUUAUAUGUUAAGUUUUGAACCCCUUUAACACAACCCAAAAGUGUAGUUUAGUGGUCAAGGGGGUUCAAAACCUUAACAAGGUCAUAGGUUCAAUUUCCACUAGCUACAAAAAGAAUUUUUGAACCCCCUUCGUGGAGAUGCUGCCUCCGCCACUGGUUGGAGAUAUCGAGAACUUCUAAUAUUUUUCAUUUUUUAUUUUAUUUUGUAAAAUGUUUGAAUGAGAUGGUUUCCAAUGGGAAACAUGGUUAGUCAUGAUUCAUAUAGCCAACCCUAGCUUGUUUGGAAUUGAGGCAUUGUAGUUGUUGUAUUAUGAGUACUUUUUUGGCCUUUAUUCCCAUCCCGCGUAAGAACAUAGGUUUUUUCCCUCAGUUUCUGCUCUCCUUGCUUUAACUAAAGAACUACCUUUCACUUUAAGUAGGACUCUAAGAGCUCUACCUUAGAAUGAGUUAGAUUUCCUGUGUUAACAAGAAGGAAUGGCGGGACGCUAAAGAGAGGGCUAUGAGACUAGUGCAAUCAGGUAAUCGACCAAGUAAUCCACAUACAUGAUAAAAGAGCAUUCCAGCCCUAGUGUACUUAUCCACUGGCAUUGAAGGAGAAGAAUGACAAGGUCUGCUUCCACAGUAAGGAUUGCCGCUUAGUCCAAUCCAAGAGCAAACGAUUGGGGUCCCAAAUUUUUUCUCACACUUUCUUAAAUUUUCAGCUGUUUAGGAGGUGAUUGCCAAGAUCCAGUACAAAAUUUUGUGCUAUUUACUAAUCAAACAUGACAGUAGAGGUGCAAUCUGAGGCAACUCAAGUAGCUGAGGUUGUUGUUCCAAAAGAAGAAUUAGAGGCUAAAAAGAUUGUAGAGGAGGUUGAGAAUGAGAAAGUAAAAGAAGAGGAGGAGGAGGAGACCAAACCAAAGGCAAUAGAAAAGAGCUCUUCUUAUAGAGAAGAGAGCAACUUUCUCUCUGAUCUCAAAGAGAAUGAGAAGAAGGCUUUGAAUGAUCUCAAAUCAAAACUCGAGGAGGCCAUUCUUGGUAACACUCUCUUCAAAAAAGAAGAGAGUUCCACCAAAAAGUCUCCAGAGAAAUCACCAUCAGGUGAAGAGGAAGAAAAGAAAGAUAAUGAGAACAAGGUUGAGGAGAAAGAGACAAAGAAUGAGGAAAAUUGCGAUACAAAUUGUGAGAAUAAAGAGGAGAAAGAGAGUGAGAAAGAGGGGGCUGAUUUGGAUGUUGAUGAAGUGGAUAAAGAGAUCUCCAUUUGGGGGGGGGGGGGGGUACCUCUAUUGCCUAGCAAAGGGGGUGAGAAAACCAAUGUGGUUAUUUUGAAAUUCUUGAGAGCAAGGGAUUACAAAGUGAAUGAAUUAUUCGAAAUGCUCAAGAAAACACUCCAGUGGAGGAAGGAUUUUGAGGUCGAAUCAAUCUUGGAGGAAGAUUUAGGGUCAGAUCUUGCUCCAACUGCUUACAUGAGUGGAAUUGAUAACCAAGGCCACCCAAUUUGUUACAACAUUUUUGGAGUUUUGGAUGAUCAAGAGCUGUAUAACAAGACAUUCGGGACGGAGGAGAAACGUAAGCAGUUCUUGAGGUGGAGAGUGCAGUUAAUGGAGAAGGGUAUUCAGCAGCUUGAUUUCAAGGCUGGUGGAGUCAGUUCACUGCUUCAGAUUAAUGAUCUGAAGAACUCCCCUGGACCUUCCAAGAAAGAGGUCAGGAUUGCUAGAAAACAAGAUGUUGAUCUUCUUCAGGAUAACUACCCUGAAUUUGUUGCAAAAAAUAUAUUCAUCAAUGUUCCAUUUUAGUAUUAUGCUUUCCAGUCAUUGCUCUCUCCUUUCCUAACUCAAAGAACCAAAAGCAAAUUCGUUUUGCUCGCCCUGCUAAGGUCACUGAGACUUUGCUCAAGUACAUUCCUAUCCAAGAAAUCCCAAUUCAAUAUGGUGGACUCAAGAGGGAGAAUGACUUUGAGUUUUCAGCCUCUGACUGUGAAGCUUCUGAAAUUCUUCUUAAAGCUGGAUCAACUGAAAACAUUGAAAUACCUGCACCAGAGGUGGGAAGUACAUUUAUCUGGGAUGUUACCAUAGUGGGAGGGGAAGUGAGAUAUAAGGAGGAAUUUGUGCCAGAGGAUGAGAACUCUUACACAAUUAUCAUUCAGAAGGAGAAGAAGUUGAGCUCGCCAAUUCGCAACACAUUCAAGAACAAUGAAGCUGGAAAAGUUGUGCUGACAAUUAAGAACACUUCUAGCAAGAAGAAGAAGGCGUUUUACCGACACAAGAUCAAGAAAUCAGCAAUUUGAGAUCACAAAUUUCUGUUUUGAGUGAAUAUGAAGAUGGAGUUUUAUUUCAGUUUUUUGUUCCCAGCAGUAUAACUUUUUUUUGUGGUUCAUAUACUUUAUUAUUCUUUUGGCUCUAUAUUCAUAUUGUAUAUGUUGAUUUAUUCAUUUUUCUCCCUAUAAGGAACAUGAUCUCUGGAACUUUUUUUUUAACC